GUCAGAAACCAAGCACCCUACUCCUUUGCUCAACCUGCGGUUCUGAAUCCUGAAACAAAAUCUGAAAACAGCAGCCAAGUUCAAGCUCAGAACCAGUGCAGUAUCUCUAGUCAAUCAACCCGAUCUCCAUCCAAUCAACCCACGCACACUGCCGCCGCCGCGGGAAGCAGAAGACACCGGAAGAGCCAACAAGGGCGCGGCACAACGCAGAAUGGUGGGUUUCCUCCGGGCCUUCGCCGCCGCCUCCGCUGUGCCUGCUGCAACUGCCGCAGCCUACGCCUUCUCUUCCACCUCCGCCCCUCAGCUUCGAAGCUCCGCUUCCCUCUGCCUGCCUCCUUCCUCUCGGCUUCCUCCUCCUUCUCGACCUCCGGGCACGCUCCCAACGCCGUGCCCUGUCAGGGAUCACAAGGGAUAAUGGAGUCAGUCAGCGGCAUGCGGUGUCAGAGGGACGAAGAUGUCGUGCCCAGGCUUCAGCGGCAAGCCGGCGCGGGCUU
This 494-nucleotide unclassified non-coding RNA is filed under the name Zea mays. Its description in RNAcentral is "misc RNA Zm00001eb428580". The record is from RNAcentral. Lineage: Eukaryota; Viridiplantae; Streptophyta; Magnoliopsida; Poales; Poaceae.